AGCCAUUAGAAGGUAUUUYUGGUUUAACCUGCCCAGUGUGAGUAUUAAUAAAUGGCCGCGGUACUCUGACCGUGCUAAGGUAGCGUAAUAAGUUGGCUUUUAAAUGGAGUCAGGUAUGAAUGGAUUAACUGGGUUUAGCUGUCUCAAGGAUAAUACAUUGAAUUUACUAUCUAAGUGAAAAAGCUUAGGUAUAAUAAAAAGACGAGAAGACCCUUAAAAUUUAGUUUAAGAUAAUUUGCUAAUUAUUACAAUUUUGUUGGGGCGACAUAGAGAUAGUUAGAACUCUCUUUAUUUAAUACAAGCCGAAUUUUUUAAGCAAGAAUAAAUUACUUAAGGGAUAACAGCAUAAUCUUAUAGAUAAGUUUAUGACCUCGAUGUUGGACUAGGAAGCUAACAGGUUAGAUGCUUGUUGUGCGAAUUCUGUUCGAAUUAUAACUCCU
RNAcentral lists this ribosomal RNA (440 nucleotides) under Tenellia sp. 29 DS-2016. RNAcentral's name for it is "partial 16S ribosomal RNA". It matches the Rfam family "Bacterial large subunit ribosomal RNA", at positions 1824 to 2596 of the family's 2925-position model. Lineage: Eukaryota; Metazoa; Mollusca; Gastropoda; Nudibranchia; Trinchesiidae. The record is from RNAcentral.